AAGUCGUAACAAGGUCUCCGUUGGUGAACCAGCGGAGGGAUCAUUACUGAGUUAUCCAAAAACUCCCAACCCUAUGUGAACUUACCACUGUUGCCUCGGCGAGCUGCGCUACCCUGUAGCUACUUUUGUAGCGACUUGGGAGCGCGUUAUAGGCUCGCCAGAGGACCACUAAACUCUGUUUUAUUUUGUAUCUCUGAAUCUUACAACUGAAAUCAGUUAAAACUUUCAACAACGGAUCUCUUGGUUCUG
RNAcentral lists this unclassified non-coding RNA (249 nucleotides) under fungal sp. RNAcentral's name for it is "partial internal transcribed spacer region". The stretch from base 1 to 46 matches the Rfam family "Eukaryotic small subunit ribosomal RNA", at positions 1786 to 1831 of the family's 1831-position model. The record is from RNAcentral. Lineage: Eukaryota; Fungi.